CCCUGGGUUCAGUCCCCAGUGCCUCAACUAGUGAAAAGUGAUUAGGUCUUGGGAACAACACACUGAGAAUGGAUUAAUAUAGGUCUCCUGUAACUAGAUUGUUGUCUUUGUUUUGUUUUAUUUUAUUUUUGAGACAGGGUCUCACUAUGUAGUUGAGACUGACCUAGAACUCACUAUGUAGCCCAGGCUGGUCUAGAUUGUUUUCUGACAGAAUGAGUUAUCAGUCUCUCUUCUGAGUGUACCACUUGGCACUUUUGCUUUCCUCCUCUAUUUUUUAGUUCUAGAGAAUGAACCCAGGCCCUCCAUAUUGAGAUACAUCCCCAGCACUUUUCAUUUAUUUAAUUUUUAAAUUUUCAUUUGAAACAAAAAGUUAAGUCAUUCAGUUGCCCGGGUUAGGCUCAGACUUUCAAUCCUUCUGCCUCAUCCUCCCAGAGUGCUUGGAUGACAGGCAUGUGCCACCAUGUCCAGCUUACUCCACCAUUAGUGUGCCAUCUACUGUGAGGGCCUCAUCUGAGUAGAAAAGACACUGGUGCCAUGCUCUUGACCCUCAAACUGUCACCUCAGUAAACCUCUUUUCUUUAUCAAUAUCCAGCCUUGUGUAUUUUUAUUAGAGCAACAAAAAGUGGACUAAAAGCCAUCCAUAGCACCAUGAGUACAGACCUCUACCCUGCGCACCUUCUGUGUCCUCCUCUGCACCUUGGACACCUCCUUGGCAUCAUGUCUCAGCUUUGGAAACUGACUUCUAGUGCUCUUCCCUGACCAAGUUGGACCAGCUCUUCUGGCUGGAGUCUCAGUCUUCUGGUUCACAUUGGACUUGGCUGUUCUCUCUUGGACUCUUCAACUUUGCCUCAGAUCCAAGCUGUCUCUGCCUUGGGCCCUGGCUGCCAGGCCAACCCCACUGGCCUCCUCCCUUGGGGCAUGCUGAUGGCAGGAUGGCAUGCUUGGCAGUCAUCAGCAGAGAUAAUGAGUACUUGGGAGGCUAUAAGUUCAAGGCCAGCGUAUGCCCACAGGAGCAGGAGGAAGAGGAGAAGAGGACGAAGAAGGAGGAAGACGACAAAGAAGAGGAGAAGGAGGAAGAGAAGAAGAAAGGAAGGAAGCAGAAAGCAGCAGCAGCAGAAGAAGAAAUAAUAAUUCACCACCACCAAACUGGCACUCCAAAUAUUAUCAAGGAUAUACUAGAAAGAGACAAUGAAGAUCACAAUGCCAAAACGUCUACAGUAAGUCCUUGACUUACAAGUGAGUUCUGUUCUAGGAGAAUGUUUGUAAAUCAGACUUGUUUGUAAGUCUGACUAAAUCAAUCUAUAUACCUUUGACACAAAUAUAAAAUGUAAAGCAUAAAAAAACACAAAC
RNAcentral lists this long non-coding RNA (1350 nucleotides) under Fukomys damarensis (Damara mole-rat). Its description in RNAcentral is "lncRNA (ENSFDAG00000025280.1)". Lineage: Eukaryota; Metazoa; Chordata; Mammalia; Rodentia; Bathyergidae. The record is from RNAcentral.